UACGAAGGUGGCAAGCGUUGUUCGGAUUUACUGGGCGUACAGGGAGCGUAGGCGGUUGGAUAAGCCCUCCGUGAAAUCUCCAGGCUUAACCUGGAAAGUGCAGAGGGGACUGUUCAGCUAGAGGAUGGGAGAGGAGAGCGGAAUUCCCGGUGUAGCGGUGAAAUGCGUAGAGAUCGGGAGGAAGGCCGGUGGCGAAGGCGGCGCUCUGGAACAUUUCUGACGCUGAGGCUCGAAAGCGUGGGGAGCAAACAGG
RNAcentral lists this ribosomal RNA (253 nucleotides) under uncultured bacterium. Its description in RNAcentral is "partial 16S ribosomal RNA". It matches the Rfam family "Bacterial small subunit ribosomal RNA", at positions 524 to 776 of the family's 1533-position model. The record is from RNAcentral.